RNAcentral lists this ribosomal RNA (460 nucleotides) under uncultured bacterium. RNAcentral's name for it is "partial 16S ribosomal RNA". It matches the Rfam family "Bacterial small subunit ribosomal RNA", at positions 338 to 795 of the family's 1533-position model. The record is from RNAcentral.
CCUACGGGAGGCAGCAGUGAGGAAUAUUGGUCAAUGGACGAGAGUCUGAACCAGCCAAGUAGCGUGAAGGAUGACUGCCCUAUGGGUUGUAAACUUCUUUUAUAUGGGAAUAAAAUGUUCCACGUGUGGGAUUUUGUAUGUACCAUAUGAAUAAGGAUCGGCUAACUCCGUGCCAGCAGCCGCGGGAAUACGGAGGAUCCGAGCGUUAUCCGGAUUUAUUGGGUUUAAAGGGAGCGUAGGUGGAUUGUUAAGUCAGUUGUGAAAGUUUGCGGCUCAACCGGAAAAUUGCAGUUGAAACUGGCAGUCUUGAGUACAGUAGAGGUGGGCGGAAUUCGUGGUGUAGCGGUGAAAUGCGUAGAUAUCACGAAGAACUCCGAUUGCGAAGGCAGUUCACUGGACUGCAACUGACACUGAGGCUCGAAAGUGUGGGUAUCAAACAGGAUUAGAUACCCCUGUAGUC